GACGAACGCUGGUGGCGUGCCUAAUACAUGCAAGUCGAGCGGACCAAUAGAAGCUUGCUUCUGUUGGUUAGCGGCGGACGGGUGAGUAACACGUGGGCAACCUGCCUGUAAGACUGGGAUAACUUCGGGAAACCGGAGCUAAUACCGGAUAAUUCAUCCCCUCGCAUGAGGGGAUGCUGAAAGUCGGUUUACGCUGACACUUACAGAUGGGCCCGCGGCGCAUUAGCUAGUUGGUGAGGUAAUGGCUCACCAAGGCGACGAUGCGUAGCCGACCUGAGAGGGUGAUCGGCCACACUGGGACUGUGACACGGCCCAGACUCCUACGGGAGGCAGCAGCAGGGAAUCUUCCACAAUGGACGAAAGUCUGAUGGAGCAACGCCGCGUGAGCGAUGAAGGCCUUCGGGUCGUAAAGCUCUGUUGUUAGGGAAGAACAAGUAUCGGAGUAACUGCCGGUACCUUGACGGUACCUAACCAGAAAGCCACGGCUAACUACGUGCCAGCAGCCGCGGUAA
RNAcentral lists this ribosomal RNA (512 nucleotides) under uncultured bacterium. RNAcentral describes it as "partial 16S ribosomal RNA". It matches the Rfam family "Bacterial small subunit ribosomal RNA", at positions 28 to 523 of the family's 1533-position model. The record is from RNAcentral.